AUACGUAGGUGGCAAGCGUUGUCCGGAAUUAUUGGGCGUAAAGCGCAUGUAGGCGGUGCCUUAAGUCUGUCGUGAAACUGCGGGGCCUAACCCCGUAUGGCGAUGGAAACUGUGGCACUUGAGUGCAGGAGAGGAAAGGGGAACUCCCAGUGUAGCGGUGAAAUGCGUAGAUAUUGGGAAGAACACCGGUGGCGAAGGCGCAUUGUUGGACUGUAUCUGACGCUGAGAUGCGAAAGCCAGGGUAGCGAACGGGAUUAGAUACCCCGGUAGUCCUGGCCGUAAACGAUGGGUACUAGGUGUGGGAGGUAUCGACCCCUUCCGUGCCGGAGUUAACGCAAUAAGUACCCCGCCUGGGGAGUACGGCCGCAAGGCUUAAACUCAAAUGAAUUGACGGGG
This 396-nucleotide ribosomal RNA is filed under the name uncultured bacterium. RNAcentral's name for it is "partial 16S ribosomal RNA". It matches the Rfam family "Bacterial small subunit ribosomal RNA", at positions 523 to 918 of the family's 1533-position model. The record is from RNAcentral.